This 72-nucleotide transfer RNA is filed under the name Toxocara canis (dog roundworm). It matches the Rfam family "tRNA". From Rfam's summary of the family: Transfer RNA (tRNA) molecules are approximately 80 nucleotides in length. Lineage: Eukaryota; Metazoa; Nematoda; Chromadorea; Rhabditida; Toxocaridae. The record is from Rfam by way of RNAcentral.
CGAGCAGUAGCUUAGUUGUAGAGAUCCCGCUUCGUAUGCGGGAAGACCUGGGUUGGAUUCCCGGUUGCUUAC